GUGAAACCCUAGGUACAUGGGUACAAGUAUAUAUAGAACCCUAGUGGGCCAGGCCCAUAUACACAGAUACUCUAACAUAUACUUCUAUGGCAUCCUUUCUAGUUAUGCUUCACAAGGAUUGGAUGUUAGUUCCCUGUUUGUUCAGAACAUAAGGAAAUACAGUUACAAAAUCAUCAUAAUAUAAAUACCAUCGAUGUUAGAUUUGAAUAACAGAUAGAGUUCUCCAAAGACUAUAUUAGGAUGCUCUAGAGAGUCACUUCCUGUG
This 265-nucleotide long non-coding RNA is filed under the name Zea mays. RNAcentral's name for it is "long non-coding RNA NONZMAT004313". Lineage: Eukaryota; Viridiplantae; Streptophyta; Magnoliopsida; Poales; Poaceae. The record is from RNAcentral.